AAUGACCCCAACGACUACUUUGACGUGUCUAAUCAUGAGGUGGACAGACAGGACGACCUGGAGUACGAGGAGGUGGAGCUGUACAAGUCCAGUCAGCAGGAGAAGCUGGGUCUGACCGUGUGCUACAGGACGGACGACGAGGAGGACCUGGGGAUCUACGUGGGAGAGGUUAAUCCAAACAGCAUCGCAGCUAAAAACGGACGAAUCCGAGAGGGCGACCGAAUCUUACAGAUUAACGGAGUCGAUAUUCAGAACAGAGAAGAAGCGGUGGCCAUUUUGACCCGAGAGGACAGCAUCAACUUCUCCCUGCUGCUGGC
Molecule: non-coding RNA, 317 nt
Organism: Paralichthys olivaceus (Japanese flounder)
Lineage: Eukaryota; Metazoa; Chordata; Actinopteri; Pleuronectiformes; Paralichthyidae
Source: RefSeq, a predicted model, not a curated record